Molecule: non-coding RNA, 238 nt
Filed under: Roseburia sp.
Lineage: Bacteria; Bacillati; Bacillota; Clostridia; Lachnospirales; Lachnospiraceae
Description: T-box sequence
Rfam family: T-box leader
About the family: Uncharged tRNA acts as the effector for transcription antitermination of genes in the T-box leader family. T-boxes are found upstream of many aminoacyl-tRNA synthetase genes and some amino acid biosynthetic genes usually in Gram-positive bacteria.
Source: RNAcentral
GAAAAAGCGAUGAUGAGAAGGAGUACUUUCCGGUAACAUCCCAGAGAGAAGAUGGCAGGUGUAAAUCUUUAUGAAGCCGGUUAGGAAGCAGUCCCGGAGCAGCAGAGUCCAAAGGUGCAGCUUAGUAGAUUCUGACGGGUUCUCCCGUUACAGAGAAAUGGCAUGAUAGUGUCAGCAGAGUGCAGAAAGAAUUACUUUCUGAAAUUAGGUGGUAACACGGACAUGGUUCGCCCUAAAC